This 835-nucleotide long non-coding RNA is filed under the name Canis lupus familiaris (dog). RNAcentral's name for it is "lncRNA (ENSCAFG00845021606.1)". Lineage: Eukaryota; Metazoa; Chordata; Mammalia; Carnivora; Canidae. The record is from RNAcentral.
ACGUGGUUAAAAGAAACAAACGUGUAAUAAAUAUAAUGCUUUGUGAUUCAACACAAGGCCAAAAAGGGUCAAGUAAUGUUAGUUAACAGCUUCUGUUUUGCCCAAUUGCCUUUAGACGAUCUACUCAUGCAGCAUAAAGAUGGCAGAUUUCACUCCAAUAUUCAUCAAACGUUAUGUGGACUCGUUGUACUUCAAGGUGAACACCCAUAUGCCCAAGAGGUCCUGCAAGUAGCCAAGAGAGAGCUGGAUGUGAAAGAGUCUCAUGGUCAGGCACAAGGGAUGAGUCAGCAGCCACCUGGUGAACCAGUAACUGAAGAGCAGAUGGCAAGGUGGACACCUCGGGGGAGGCCAGCAUGGAUGGUGAGUGAUCCUGAGGACCAGAUGUCCCCUCCAAUACGUGGCACUGUGGAAGUCUCCAAAAUUUAGAUGCAAUCCAGGGGAAAGUGGAAGGGGAAAAGCCAGAUUAAUUGAAAUUAAAUUCCUGCAGCCCCAGAGGAAUGGAGGCUUGAAAAGAAAAGAAAAAGGGAAACAAAACAUGUUUCUGACACAUGUAAAUAUGUGCAAGGAAAUUGAUACCUAUUACACAUGUGAACCAAGAAACAGGUUUCUACUGACUUUCAAGGAGAGGCAAACAGAUAUAACUAGUGUUGUGAUUUCAGAAACAAUGACAGCCUCAUUUUCUCCCUUCUGUGCUUGAUUGUGAAUUUCCACCAUUAUAAUGUUUGUCCCCCCUUGGAUUUAGAAAUGUCCUCUUAAAACACACAUGCUAUUGAGAGAUGUUCACCUCACUAGUCGUUUAGCCCUUAAUGUGCAUCAGUUGAUCCUCUGUUUUUCU